This 254-nucleotide ribosomal RNA is filed under the name uncultured bacterium. Its description in RNAcentral is "partial 16S ribosomal RNA". It matches the Rfam family "Bacterial small subunit ribosomal RNA", at positions 524 to 776 of the family's 1533-position model. The record is from RNAcentral.
CACGUAGGGUGCAAGCGUUGUCCGGAUUUAUUGGGCGUAAAGAGCUCGUAGGUGGUUCAGUAAGUCAGGUGUGAAACCUCCAGGCUCAACCUGGAGACGCCACUUGAUACUGCUGUGACUGGAGUCCGGUAGGGGAGCGUGGAAUUCCUGGUGUAGCGGUGAAAUGCGCAGAUAUCAGGAGGAACACCAGCGGCGAAGGCGGCGCUCUGGGCCGGUACUGACACUGAGGAGCGAAAGCGUGGGUAGCAAACAGG